Molecule: ribosomal RNA, 301 nt
Filed under: uncultured bacterium
Lineage: Bacteria
Description: partial 16S ribosomal RNA
Rfam family: Bacterial small subunit ribosomal RNA
Source: RNAcentral
CAGCCGCCGCGGUAAUACGUAGGUGGCAAGCGUUGUCCGGAAUUAUUGGGCGUAAAGCGCGCGCAGGCGGAUAGGUCAGUCUGUCUUAAAAGUUCGGGGCUUAACCCCGUGAUGGGAUGGAAACUGCCAAUCUAGAGUACCGGAGAGGAAAGUGGAAUUCCUAGUGUAGCGGUGAAAUGCGUAGAUAUUAGGAAGAACACCAGUGGCGAAGGCGACUUUCUGGACGAAAACUGACGCUGAGGCUCGAAAGCGUGGGGAGCAAACAGGAUUAGAUACCCGCGUAGUCCCUGUCUCUUAUACA